AUUGAACGCUGGCGGCAGGCCUAACACAUGCAAGUCGAACGGUAACAGGAAUCAGCUUGCUGAUUUGCUGACGAGUGGCGGACGGGUGAGUAAUGUCUGGGAAACUGCCUGAUGGAGGGGGAUAACUACUGGAAACGGUAGCUAAUACCGCAUAACGUCGCAAGACCAAAGAGGGGGACCUUCGGGCCUCUUGCCAUCGGAUGUGCCCAGAUGGGAUUAGCUAGUAGGUGGGGUAAAGGCUCACCUAGGCGACGAUCCCUAGCUGGUCUGAGAGGAUGACCAGCCACACUGGAACUGAGACACGGUCCAGACUCCUACGGGAGGCAGCAGUGGGGAAUAUUGCACAAUGGGCGCAAGCCUGAUGCAGCCAUGCCGCGUGUAUGAAGAAGGCCUUCGGGUUGUAAAGUACUUUCAGCGGGGAGGAAGGGAGUAAAGUUAAUACCUUGGCUCAUUGACGUUACCCGCAGAAGAAGCACCGGCUAACUCCGUG
RNAcentral lists this ribosomal RNA (490 nucleotides) under uncultured bacterium. RNAcentral's name for it is "partial 16S ribosomal RNA". It matches the Rfam family "Bacterial small subunit ribosomal RNA", at positions 30 to 507 of the family's 1533-position model. The record is from RNAcentral.